AAUUAUUUUCCUCCCCUGUCCAAUUUAUUAUUUGAUUUUAAAUUGUUUCCAUUUGGUAUCAAUACAAGCUCAGGCACUUACGAUGCCUUUCUUUGCGGGGAGGGAAGGGAUGACUCCAGCAGAAGGCAUUGAGAGACAGGCAUUUCAGAACAACCCAUGAGCACAGCAUGCUUAUGACUGAUCAGAAACCUAGAAUUAAGUCGGAGAUUAAAUCAAGGAAUGUAAGCGUUUCAACCCUUCUCUGUCAAGUUCAAGGCGAAUAUUGCCCAUUCAGCUAUUGGGCAAGGGGGGUGUGCUCCUUCUGGUUCAUAGAUCAUUUUUGAUCUAUGUUUGGCCAUAGGUUUUCUGAGAGCACACCUCAGAUUUCCUCAUACUUCACAGACUAGAGUCUUUCUAUGUCACAUAUGGCUUGUCCUGGAUGGUAGCGACAGCUUUUCCUUCCUUCUUGGACCCGGUGCCUACAGAACUAGGGAGGAGUAUGCCUGGUUGGCAUCACAUAUUGCUGACAUUUCCCAGAUCUUCAGGCUCCUCACAACCUCCCUGGCUAUGGGAGGCUGCGGGUCUUGAAGGCAGUGACACCUUUGAAACCUCGGUUAUCAUUAAAGUCUUUCAGAUACUCCCGACUCUACUAUGAGCCUGCUAGUAAUGAAGGAUAUUCAAAUGAAGCCUUGACUAAGCAGAGGGAACCUGGGAGUCAGAAGGUUCAGCUGUUCUCAGACACUUUUAUUGAAGAAGAAUACCUCUUACCAGUGCUUCAGAGGGAGAAAAAAACACCUGAACAGCAAUCCACAGCAAGUUGCACCCAAAAGGCUCUGACUUCAGACAUGGAAGAUAGCACUGAAAUGAAGGAAAGAGCGGAUGCCACUAAAAAAUUCAUUCACAUUCAGACUCUCCGAGCAGGUGAUAUAUUUGGUCUGGUAUAUGUAGUCUUUGAAGAUGCACUUAGCAUGACCUUGGUUUCUGAUGGAGCUGAGUGCAUUGUGGUAUCAAAGGAGUUCUUCAAGAAGCACAUGAAUGAAGACUAUCGCCAAAAAUUAUGCACAACUGUUCAGCCUUAUCCUUCUAAAGAGAUGCUACAAAGAAAGAUGCAGGACUAUAUCAAUUGGAAAGCUUACAAAUCUUUGCUGAUCAAUGGACCACAUUAGCCAUUGGGAAACUGAUGGGAGCUCCAGGAAUUCAGAAACUUUAGAAAACAUCAAGCCCAAAGUAUAAUUUAAUAUUUCUUUAAAAAAAAAAUCUUGCCUGGUGGGGCUGAGGAAGACUGUUACUCCUACCACAGCUUGCAUUUGCUUCUUCGGUGUACGUGCUUGCAAACAAGUGUCUGAUGCCAGAAAUGUGUCGUUGUUGUUUUCAAGUAGUUUCUAUAAAUGCUUCCGUGGAGAAGUGCAUUAAAAUUGAAUGUGUCAGUAUUUCAUCUCAUUCUGACUUUAAUAAAAGUAUAAGCAUUUA
Molecule: RNA transcript, 1449 nt
Organism: Alligator mississippiensis (American alligator)
Lineage: Eukaryota; Metazoa; Chordata; Crocodylia; Alligatoridae
Exons: 6
Source: RefSeq, a predicted model, not a curated record